This 348-nucleotide unclassified non-coding RNA is filed under the name soil metagenome. RNAcentral's name for it is "partial contains 5.8S ribosomal RNA, internal transcribed spacer 2, and large subunit ribosomal RNA". The stretch from base 1 to 120 matches the Rfam family "5.8S ribosomal RNA", at positions 35 to 154 of the family's 154-position model. The record is from RNAcentral.
GAUGAAGAACGCAGCGAAAUGCGAUAAGUAAUGUGAAUUGCAGAAUUCCGUGAAUCAUCGAAUUUUUGAACGCACAUUGCGCCCCCUGGUAUUCCGGGGGGCAUGCCUGUCCGAGCGUCAUUGCUGCCCUCAAGCACGGCUUGUGUGUUGGGCCCCCGUCCCCGGUUUCCCCCGGGGACGGGCCCGAAAGGCAGCGGCGGCACCGCGUCCGGUCCUCGAGCGUAUGGGGCUUUGUCACCCGCUCUGUAGGCCCGGCCGGCGCCAGCCGACACCCAACUUUAUUUCUAAGGUUGACCUCGGAUCAGGUAGGGAUACCCGCUGAACUUAAGCAUAUCAAUAAGCGGAGGA